RNAcentral lists this long non-coding RNA (386 nucleotides) under Homo sapiens (human). RNAcentral's name for it is "novel protein". The record is from RNAcentral. Lineage: Eukaryota; Metazoa; Chordata; Mammalia; Primates; Hominidae.
GCCUUCCCUGCCCAGUCCCCACAGGACCUCACCUAGGGUGGAGGAGAGCAACAGCAAGCUCCUGGAGUCAGAGAGGAAGCUGCAGGAGGAGCGACACCGCACCGUGGUGCUGGAGCAACAUCUGGAGAAGAUACGCCUGGAGCCAGGGAAGGCAUCAGCCUCCCAGAGAGCAGCUCCCAGGACCAAAACAGCUCCGCUCCUGGAUGUAUGCUGUGUACGGGGCCUUGGCUGUGAUGGGCACAAUGGGCCCUUGGUACCUGCUGCUGCUGCUUGGUCACUGUGUGGGCCUCUAUGUGGCCUCGCUUUUGGGCCAGCCCUGGCUCUGUCUUGGCCUUGGCUUGGCCAGCCUGGCCUCCUUCAAGAUGGACCCCCUAAUCUCUUGGCAG